CGCCGCCGAGAGGGUGGACGGCCACAUUGGGACUGAGACACGGCCCAAACUCCUACGGAAGGCAGCAG
Molecule: ribosomal RNA, 68 nt
Filed under: uncultured bacterium
Lineage: Bacteria
Description: partial 16S ribosomal RNA
Source: RNAcentral